AAUUGUUCGCAAUGGGCGCAAGCCUGACGACGCAACGCCGCGUGGAGGAUGAAGAUUUUCGGAUCGUAAACUCCUGUCGAAUGGGACGAAUAGAUUGCGGGUUAACAGCCCGUAGUCCUGACGGUACCGUUAAAGGAAACCCCGGCUAACUCCGUGCCAGCAGCCGCGGUAAUACGAAGGGGGCUAGCGUUGUUCGGAAUUACUGGGCGUAAAGCGCGCGCAGGCGGUUCUUCAAGUCAGAGGUGAAAGCCCAGGGCUCAACCCUGGAAUGGCCUUUGAGACUAGAGAACUAGGGUACGGGAGAGGUGAGUGGAAUUCCGAGUGUAGAGGUGAAAUUCGUAGAUAUUCGGAAGAACACCAGUGGCGAAGGCGGCUCACUGGCCCGUUACCGACGCUCAGGCGCGACAGCGUGGGGAGCAAAC
RNAcentral lists this ribosomal RNA (422 nucleotides) under uncultured bacterium. Its description in RNAcentral is "bacterial SSU rRNA". It matches the Rfam family "Bacterial small subunit ribosomal RNA", at positions 360 to 773 of the family's 1533-position model. The record is from RNAcentral.